UCUCCUUUUCCUCAUCAACCUCCUCUACCUUCCCCUCCUCAUCUUUCUUCUCCUCUUCCUCCUCAUCAUCAGAAAUUUCCUUCUCUAUGGUCUUCUCAACCCACAGAGAGAUAGGGUAGCUAAUGAACUCAGAGUGCUUUUUAAUCAGGUCCUUCAGCCUCCGUUCUUCAAGGUAUUCAAGCUGAUCCUCCUUGAGAUAAAGGACCAUUUUUGUGCCCCUACCAAGGUUCUCACCAGAUGUAUCUCUUGUUACGGUGAAAGACCCACCAGCUUGAGACUCCCAGAUAUAUUGUUCAUCAUCAUUGUGCUUUGUGGUCACAACAACCUUCUCAGCUACCAAGUAAGCUGAGUAGAAACCAACACCAAAUUGCCCAAUCAUGCUAACAUCGGCACCAGCAGCAAGAGCUUCCAUGAAUUCCUUGGUUCCAGACCUCGCAAUUGUACCCAGGUUAUUCACCAAAUCUGCAAAUAAAACAUAGAGAUCAGUACAUACAAAUGCAAACAGAUAAUAUGGUUGAAAAUCUCUGAUUGAGCACCUAGAUUCCAAUAUGUGUUCCUACUUACCAGCCUUUGUCAUACCAAUACCGCUAUCAACAAUAGUAAGUGUAUUGUUGGUCUUGUCUGGAAUAAUAUGGAUGAAGAGCUCUGGUUGAGCAUCUAGCUUGCUCUUGUCAGUUAAGCUCUCAAAACGGAUCUUGUCCAGAGCCUAAAAGUAUAAUAACCAAAAUACAAAUAAAUAUCAGCUAUGGCAUGCAAUUUAACCACCGACCAAAUAUUUUACAUCCUAUGAUAUAAUGGCAUCCAGAUAACAGAAGACUUGAGCAAGUAACAUACUGAUUUAAAAAAUGAUCACAGAAAACAUCUUUAUGAAAAGUAAGGCCAAAAAACUUGAGGCUCUUAGCCUCUGCUCUAGUGGUCUUAUAUAGUCAAGAGGACAGUGUCCCGGACAAUCACAUCAAACUAUCUACAAAUAUAAUACAGAUAAAAGAACUCAAAAAAUAAUAUCUCAAGACUGCUCAUAUUUCAAAAUGAGCAGAGAGCCAUAGCACUACAGUAUCCUAAAAGAUAAGCUAUCCACGAAAAUAAUAAAGAUAAAAAUACCUCCAAAUAAAAACUCAACUGCUCUUAAUAUAAUCAAAUUCCAACAUCAUAGUGAUCAAUGGCACUACAGUAUCCUACAAUAUCACGUUAAAGCUAUCCAUGAAGCAAUACAUAUAAAAACCGUGAAAAAAAAAACUCAGGCUCUCCAUAAUAAUCAAAUUUCAAAAUCAAAUACAGCGACCGCUGCUAAACAGUAUCCUAGAUGAUCAAGUUAACCUAUCUACGAGGACAAUAACAAUCCUCGGAUUGCUCUUAAAUAAUCAAAAUCACAUAGGUCGGCGGCAAUACAGUACCCUAGAAGAUCACAUUAAACUAUAUUACCUUAAAAUAAUCACACUUCAAAAUCACAAAGAGCAAUGGAACUACCAGACGAUAAGUUAAGCAAUACAUAAAGAGAAUACAUAACAAAUUAAAAAAUGUCAACAGUCGUUAACUUACAUCGGAAGAAUUACUGAUGAGUUCACGGAGAAAGAUCUCCUUGUUGCUGUAGAAAGUGUUUAUAAUAAGACUAAGAAGCUGAUUGAUCUCAGCCUGGAAAGCAAACGUCUCUGUGUCCGCCAUUUUUUGUAGAUCUCAGAGCUGUUGCUACUACGAAGAAGAAUCUCAGGCGAAGUGAAACACAAGCAAGAGGAGGCUGAAGAGAAGUUUUUAAUGACUUUAUAUAGUAGUCAAUUUAGGGUUUCUAGAUCCUUCUAUGGCUAUUGUCUUUUUGUUUUGUUUUUUUAGCUAAUAAUUGGAGUUUUAGUCGGAGAAAAUGAUCAAAAUAAAUUUCUUUUGUUAUACAUUAUGGAUUAUUUUAAUUAAGUGAAAUAUAUUAAAGAUUAAAAUAUAUAUAUUUAUCAUACAUUAAGAAUUAUUUCAAUUAAGGAUCAAAAUAAAGUAUUACCCAUACAUUAAAACCAUUUUGAUCAUUUUCUCGUUUUAAUCAUUCCUUUUACGCUUUCUUAUAGAACAUAUCCUAAUUUGGGUAAUUAUUUAUUUUUCCUUUAUUUUUUGCUUAUUCUUUCAUUCUAGUAGUUAUAGUAUUUAUCUUAUAAUAUUUUAUCUUUUGACUUUUGUUACUAUCUACUAUCUCUUGUACUUCAAUUGUCGCACUAUUUAGUUGUAAUUACUAUUAUUUAUUUUCAGAAUAUUUUGAUCAUUUUUCCUUUAGUGUUUUAUCAUGAUUUCUUCACUUUUCGUUAUUUACUUUUUGAUCUACUUUGAUAUAUUUUUGUUUGAGUCAAGAGUCUAUCAAGACAAUCUUUCUAUCUUCUAAGAUAGAAUAACGUAUUCGCACACUCAAUUCUUCUAAAUCUACACUUGUUGUAUUAUAAUAGAUUGGGUUGUUAGCUUCUUCUUAAGUGUUUACUUCUUUACAUUUUGAAUAUCGUCAGUGAACUUUCUAACUGCACCAUUAUUGGUUUAAAAGAAGUUUGGAUUUUAUCAGCAAUGGUUCUUAUUUAUAGAUUCUUAGCUUAAUUUUCCUACGGACAAAAAUUAUUAGUUGUAAUCUUUGAAACAAAAACCAAAAAAAAAAAAGCUGAUUUUUUUUUUUAUUUUUAAAGUGAAUGAAAAUGUGAAAGGAUCACAAAUUAGAUUUAAUUUCUAGUAUUUAAUUUAUUGAUGUUCACAUGACUUUGUGGUAUAGUCAUAUGGACUUUGUGAGAAUUGAAUUGUCAAUUUUUUCUUUAUAGUAUCUUGAAAAUAAUCAUUUUGAUUUUCUCAAUCUUUUCUUGUGAGAUGAACUUAAAAUAAAUAAAUAAAUAAAAGUAUCUUUACUUCUUGUUUUAGUUUUUAGUUCCUCCACCCACGAAGGAAGGAGGUAUUCGUUAUUUAAAUGGCUCAUGUUAAAUAUUUAACUAUAAUUAAAAUUUAAAUUUUAUAUAAUUAGUGUAAUUUAUACAAACGUUAUAUGUGAUUAUACAAAAAUUAUGUUCGAAUCAAAUUGUAUAGCAAAAUAUAUAAACAUUACAAAUUGUAUAAUGAAUUAUACAAACGUUACGUACAAAUUAAUAGCAAAAUAUACAAGAGUUAUAUAAAAACUAUGAAUUAUACAGACGUAUAUAAAUGUUGCGCGAAUUAUACAAAUGUUGCUAUAACUAUAGUUAUGAAAUGUAAUUACUCAAACUACAGUUAUAUAACAUAAUUAAGAUAUUUUUACGCGGCUAUAUACGAAAAUUCCUCUAAAAGAAAAUAUAUAUAACUAUAUUUGUAAUGUAAAUAGAAUUUGAAUUAGUCAACAAAUUAGAAAUUUAAAAGGGGAAAAAAUCAAAGUACAACAUUAUAUAUAUUUUUAAAGUUGCCUAAAUCCUAAUCAAAGAUCUCAUGCUCAAAUGCUAGGAUAUGAAAUUAUUUUUGUUAGAAAAUGCUUUACCUUUUAGUAUAAAACUUUUAAAUAUUAAAUUCGAAUUUAGUCAGAUCUUUAUGUGAAUAUCGAAUAUCGAGAAUUGAGAUAGAUCGAAAAUAAUUAAAAUUAAUUAAUAUAUAAAAAAAUAUUAAAGGAUGCAUCACGUUGGUCGUUAUCAUGUUCAUGUGUUCAUGUCUGUAUUCCUGCGUGGGUCCCACUUUAGCCCACAUCCCACGUUCAAAUUGUUGACCCAUAACUUAUUGCUUAAUCACAUUCUGACCCCUCUAAUUAUCAUCAUUGUAUAAAUAGCCUGUUUUAAAUUACUAUUUUUUUUAAUAUAAAAAUAAUUUAAUUUUGUAAAUUCUCUUUUUAUUUUUAAUUGAAUGAUUUAUAACUAUACAAAUGGUCGAUAAGUGUUUUAAAUUACAUAUAUUUAAAGUCUUUUAUUUUUUUAAAAAAAUUUGUAUCAAGUCAAAUGUUACAUAAAUUGAGAUAAAGGAAGAGUUAGACGAAGAAAGGGUUAAACAUUUGAGGAGAUUAAAAUGUAUGCAGACCUUAUCACUAUCUCAUUGAGAUAUAGAUGAUGUUUUUGGAAAAUUCUUAUCUUAAAAAUUAAUUAUAAGCAGAAGAUACUAGAUAUGAAAGAAAAAGAAAAAAAAUGACUAAUAAUGAAAAACAAAUGAUAGUAUAUAAUACGAUAAAAGUAAUAAAUAUAAGACGGAUAAUGACAAAACAAAAUAUAAAGACACAAUUAAUUCUACAACUUUAAUAUAUCACAACCUACUUCUACUAACAUAUUAACCUUCUACCUAAUAAGUGAGCUCUAUGGUGAAACAGUAAUGGACCAUGUGUUCUAAACUAAGUGGUCCUCAAAUCAUUGAGAUGUUUUGGGAUGGUUGAAGUUGUGGAUACUAAUAAAGACAUCACUCAUAUUGAGUCUGUGAAGUGGUAAUAGUAAGUCCUCAAAAAAAAUUUCCAUUGGGAGAGUCAUAAAUCUGACAAAUUCUUCUUGUGUCAGCUUAGUCCAAAAAUACCCUCAACCCUGCAAAAUUCCCUCUGUAAAACUUGAAGUCACCAUUAAUGGUGAAUCAAUAAAGUCAAUCUUAGGAAUUUUCCCAUUUUGAAGAAGAACAAUCAUAAAGAUUGAAUCUUUUUGAGUUUUUGAGGUUAAAAAACAAUCUUUUGAUCUUCUGCUCUUGAGGGGCAGAGAUUAAUGGAGCUAAUACCUUACUCAGACCCAAAUUCUGAAUCAAGCUGCGCUAAUCCACCUUGGGAAGAUAUGUUUCGAUCAGCUUCAAUGAGGAAACCAGAAGAACCAAAACCCCAGAACCAGGUUCCUUCAGAGGCUCAGCCAAAAAAGGAAAAUAACCCAAAUCAAGAUUCAAUGUCUGCUGACCCUCAGGUGCGUUUAGCCCUUUAUAUAGCUAUGGCUCAUGCUGGACUUGUGUUCACUAUUUUUAUUAUUUAUGGAGUUGGUAAAUUACUUGAAGAGUAUUUGAGAGCUAUGUUAUGGGCUGUACUUUGUUCAAUUCCAUUGAGGGGAAUUCAACAAACGCUUGUUUCAUUUUGGUCUGAACCUUUAAAGUUAGGCUUUACUGAGACCAUUUUAGCUGUCCCUGUAGCUGUUGUCAGUGUUUUUCUUGGGACCCUUGUUGAUAUUAAAGAGAAGAUUUUUAGGGUUGUUCUAAGGAGGCCUAAAGGUAACACGACGAGGCGUCGUUCGAGUGGAUUUUUCGUACUGUUGAGGUGGCUUGUGUCAUUUUGGGUGUUUGUGAUUGCUUAUGAGCAGAUUGGUGGGAUGGGAUCAGUUGCUCUUCUUGCAUUGGGAUUUAUGUUUACUGCCAAUAGUGUGGAUUCAACUAUGAACGCUGUAACGUCUUUCAGAAGUCAUAGCUUUCGUAGGUUUGCUAUCACUGCUUUCUUAACUAGAGGGAUAUUGAAAAAGUUGAAGACGAUUGUGGCGAUUGGGUUGAUUGUUGGAUUGAGUGUGGGUUCGUUGGCAGGUAUGAUUUUCUUUUCAUAUAAGAUUGGUAUGGAGGGGAAAGAUGCAGUUAUUGCGUUGAAAUCCCAUGUAGAGGAGAGUAACUAUGCUGAGAAAAUCGGUGUUAAGCAAUGGAUGGAUGAAAAUGAGGUUCCCGAGAUGGUGGAUAAGUACACCUCUCAAAUGUAUGAGACAGUAUUUACGCAGAUAGAUAGCUAUGCUAUGCAAUAUAAUAUGACAGAGUUUGUUUCCGGGAUAAAACAUUUUGUAAUAACCCCUGCCAAUAACUCAUUUAAUCAAUCCACAGCUCUGGCAUCCCCCUCUCCAUAUGCGGAGAAAUUCUUAAGCCUGAAAAGGAGGAUUAAAGAUCGUGAAUGGGCACAAAUAUAUACAGAAGCGGAUGUGAUGUUCAGGGAACUUCUGAUCACUAGAGAGGACUUGGUUGAAAAGGCCAAAGGAUUCGCUCUCCAAGGGGUAAAUAUAAUGCAACGGAUACUUGUAAGUAGCACAUCUGUCUUAGGUGGAAGCAUGAAGGUCGUGUUCUUGAUUGGAAAUUCCAUAGUUUCGGGGGCUGCUGGUCUUUUUAAUUUUGUAUCUCAGCUCAUGGUAUUCAUUUGGGUACUUUAUUAUCUUAUCACAUCGGAUUCUGGUGGAGUAACAGAACAGGUGAUGUCUAUGCUCCCUAUGUCACAUUCCACAAGGAGGCGAAGUGUUGAGGUUCUUGACAAGGCUAUUUCUGGGGUUCUUCUAGCAACCGCUGAGAUUGCACUCUUUCAGGGAUGCCUGACUUGGCUCUUGUUCAGAUUAUUUUCCAUACACUUUUUGUACAUGUCAACAAUGCUCGCAUUUCUUAGUCCUUUGUUUCCUAUUUUCCCAUCACUGUUUUCAACCAUACCAGCUGCUUUACAGUUGGUUCUUGAAGGUCAAUAUGUAUUGGCCGUCAUCCUAUCCAUUAUACAUCUCGUGCUGAUGGACUAUGGUACAUCCGAAAUCUUGGAGGAUAUCCCAGGCUAUAAUGCUUAUCUCACUGGUCUCAGCAUUAUUGGAGGGAUGACAUUGUUCCCUUCUGCAGUUGAGGUAACCACAUACAAUACUCUCUCUUGAAUUUCCAUUAUGACUUUUCUUGCAUUACCUAUACUACCUGUCAUGUUGUCUUCGUGUUGAGAGUGACGAAGGAAGGGAACAUGGAGAAUUCGCAACUGCUAUACAUCAGCUAUUAAAAUAUCCCCGAUAUUAGACAGAAAAAUGUGAACUUUUUUUAAUCCUUCAUUUACAAGGGAAAAAUGAUUGUCAUGCAAAACAGCAUGACAGGAAGGCGAUAAUUCUACUGGGGAAAGAAGCUAUGAGUGUCUUCCCUUUCAACCUUAUUCUCAACUCCAAUUGUUGUCUAGAUCAUGAUGGUUUCGGAACUAGACUAUCUUCAUUUCACUUGGAGUUCAUAGUCAAAAACACACCUAAACUAUCACUCUUUUUACCAUAGCUAUCAAUUGUUUCCGUUUCCUACCUGAACUACCAAUACACAACUUAUUAGGCUAACAAUCUGUUGUUUCCUUGCUGCCUUCUGCGCAUGCUUAAAUGUCUCCUUUUUUUAUAUGUCACUCGAUGACUUGAGUAGGACUGAACACAGGUGUACUUAUUUAAAUAUAUAGAUGGUGAUAAUUUAUGUAGGAAAGGGAACAAUUGAUAAUUGGGGUGUGAUCUCGUAAAAGAAUGAUAGUUGAGGUGUGUUUUUUGACCAUCAUCUCUUUCACUAAGAUGAUUUCUUCACCAUAGAAGUUUCGAGUGGUUUGAUAUAUUACCUUUACAAAUUUUGUAGAACCACCACUAUAAAGAAAGAUUUUCAAAGGAGAACUAGGGAAGUUGGAUGCUUAGAGCUGGUAAAGGUUUUUCAUAUAGAAAACUUUAGGUGUAUUUUCAUGCUGAGCACGCAAAGAUUGUCGCCCAUGCUAUUGUCUUGGGACUAUUAUCCUUAUCCCAUCUACCUAACGACCCCUUAAAGGUUGCAUCUAUUUUAAUAAUUCUCUACUUUUGUCGCGCAGGGAGCAAUAAUGGGACCACUAAUAACUACUGUUGUGAUCGCGAUUAAAGAUUUGUAUGUUGAGUUUGUAUUGGAAGAACAGAAGGAAUAAGCCGAACAAAUCUGUGUUUGCAAUGCCGGAGCCUUUGAAGACAUUGACAGAAACAUUGCAAGAUAAAGUGAAUUCUUUUUUCUCCCAGUCAACUAUUGUUUGUAUUCUACAUGUGUUUUGAGGUUUUUUCUUUUUGUUUCUCAGAAAAAGUUGUUGAUAGUGUGCAGAAGUUUGGUAAAUGAUUAAAUUGGAGGAUGCAAUUGUGUAUUGCAUCUUCUUUGUAAAAUCUGAGAACUAGAAUUGGUUUGAGAACUCAUUUUGUAGCCCUUCCCCCGACACUACAUGAACGCUACAUUCUUAGUACAUCGAACUGUCCUGUUUUUCCUCUUUAAAUGUUAUGACCAAUGACCAACGCCCAACAGUAUUGAUUGAGAACCAACAAAUCGGGUUUUGGUUCGACCCGAUUCACACCGGAGGGGAAAGGAAGACGGCCCAGUUUAUGUGCUUGGGCCAAAUAAUGGGCGCCGUCCAAUAUUUCACCAUUAAUAACACGUGGGGUCCAAACUAUGCAUUAUUAAAUGAAUUUAUAAUAACAGGAAAAAUGUGCAAUUUUAUGAUCCUAUGAGAAUUUAAUAAAUAAUAUUCCUCCAUUGAAUUGGAAAAUAUCUAAAUAGAGACCCACAAUUCAAUAUUUUUAUGAUUUGUCUUUUUUUCUUUGCCACAAUUAGUUGGAGAAGCUAUGGAACACAAGAGGCCUUGGUCGUAGCGUACGGAUUUGGUCGUAUUUAAUAAUUCAAUUAUUAGUAUUAAAAAUUAUUAUAUUCUAAAAUUUUAAAUUAAUAAAACUCGAAUCUCCUAUGAUUUUUAAUAAACAAAUAGUUACUAUAUCAACUCUUGUUAUUUCCUUUUACUAGGCCAAUAUUAGAUUUGCAUUAAAAAUGAUAAGUCUGAUGCAUUAAAUGACUAGAGAAAAGAGGACUGAACAACGGUCUAUUGUAUGCAGUCUUAUCUUAUAUUUCUGUUAGAGGUUGUUUUCAAGGGUUGAACACGUAAUAUCCUGAUCAUAUGACAAUAACUUUAUCAGUAACUGAAUCUCAAAUUUAAUUUUUAUACAUAAUUAAUAAAUUUCUUAAUACAAAUAUAAAAUUUAAAUUAAAAUUAUUAAAAUUUAAUUAAAUUCAUAAAUAACCUUUUGGCUCCGUCCCCAUUAAACUAUUUGUACAAAAUCAAAGGCACCAGCCCAGACAGUGGUUGACCACAAAUAUUAAAGUACACAUUCUCUUGGUAAGUUGGUAGGGAGACGCAAAGAGAGCCAUGUUGGUAAAAUUAACGGAGCUAGAAGUUUAAAUACGAAUUUAAUCGAAUUUAUUAUUUAUAUAUAUGUUAAAAAAUGUAUUAAAAAUGUAUACAUAUUAAUACCUAGAUGGUUGUUACCCUUAGUAUAGUAUUGUAUUAUUAGCUUAAAUACAAUAUUUAUUUUGAUUGUUAUUUAAAUUUCAUUAUAUCUAUUGUUUAAAUCCAUCAUUAGAAAACGAUGAAAAUACUUAUUUGUGUAACGAUUGAUUUGGUGUGAUCGAAUCAUUACCUUAAUCUUUUCUUCUCAUUUAACUUCAUUUAUUAUUUAAUAUUCUAUUUUGUCAUUUACCCUACCUUUUCAUAGUAAUUUUACCACACAUCCUAUAAUCUUUUGUAGGUUUAUUAUUCAACUUAUGAAUGUAUAACAUUAUGCAACGACAGAGAAUGAUAUAAUCUAUCCAAAUAUUGUGUUCAUUAAAAUAACACAGUACGAUACAUACAAUACAAUGCAAAUACAACAUAAUAUGAUUCAUUAUGAAACAAUACAUAACAACCAUUCAAACAACGCGUAAAUUUAAAACUCAAAUAUUAACACUUAAAACAAUCAUUAUAAAAUUCAAAACGCAUAAAAUAAAAAUUUUCGAUUUCGCCUCUGGUCCCACACAACACAAUGACUAUUGUUGCUUGUGCUGCUGGAUUUUGAUUAGGUGGCCAACUGCUUUCCUCAGCAACCGAUUAACUACUGUACCCGCCACUAUUUCACAAAAUUUAAUUACAAAAAUAUAUUCAAAUAAAAUAAAUAAUAAUAUAUUAUCUUAAUAUUUAUAUCAAAAAAAUUGGAUUGACUCAAAGUUAACAUAAUUUUUUUUUUAAAAAAAGUAGAGUAAUGUGCAUUUCAAGAACCCCACACUUGCUUUCAUUUUUCAUAUUUUGCUUCUUCUCAAAUUAAAAAAAAAAAAAAAGAAAGCCAAAAUCUUCUGAAGAAGUUAGGCCAACAGUUAUACUUUAAAAAAUUCACUUGAAAUCAAAGCAAUAAAAGGGUCUUUGUUUGAUUAUUGGUCACCAUCUUGAAACCAAUCUUUACCUUAUGUCAUGUUUGGUUCAACUCCAUUAACCUAUUUUUUCUUCUUGUUUUUUUUCCCCUUUUUAUUCCCACUUUCAUUUCUCUUGUUUUGUGUUCUAAGUUCGUUUCUUGUUUACCUUCUUAAAGGUGGGAACUUUUUUGUUUGUCGACUGAAUCAUUCUUUUGGUGUCAAUAGUAGUGAGCUGGUUAGAUACCUGGGGCAAAGGGCUUGUAGUAUCCCUUUGAUUGAUUCACCCUUUUCUUCGCUUCGGUAGUAGUUCUUGUCUCACCUUCUUAAAGGUGGAAACUUUUUUCAUUUCGACUUAGUCACUCUUUUGGUGUCAAUAGUAGUGAACUAUGUGAGCUGGUUAGAUACGUGGGACAGAGGACUCGUAGCACCCUUUGAUUCAUUCACCCUUUUCUUCGCUCCGGUAGUGAAUCAUUCCUCUGUUGUCUCACUUUCUUAAAGGUGGGAACUUUUUUGUUUCGACUGAAUCACUCGUUUGAUGUCAAUAGUAGUGAACCACGUGAGCUGGUUAGAUACGUGGGGCAGAGGGCUCGAAGUAUAAUACCCCUUUGAUUGAUUCACCCUUUUCUUCGCUCCGGCAGUGAAUCAUUCCUCUGUUGUCUCACUUUCUUAAAGGUGGAAUCUUUUUUAUUGAAGUUCUUGAAAUUUUGCAUUAGUUGUUAUGCAAGCAAAGAUUGAAACUUGGGGAAAUUUUGCUUCUCUUUGCAAAAUUCUUCUAUUAUCCCACAUGCUAGUAUUGAGUAUCGACUAGAUCACUCUUUUGGUUCAGUUGGUGAAAUCGAUACAUGGGGCAAAGGGCUCGUAGUACCUAAAGGGGCACGCUUGCACGUCUUACUACAAAGUUGAAAUUUCUCCCUAUUGAAAAACCUUGUAAACACUUAGCUAAAAAAAAGUGUCAUCAUUUCGAAUCAUGAGUAGCCGUUACUUUAUAACAACAGACUCAUUGUGUAAUCCUAGGAUUAUUGUUCCAGAAAGAAUGGAUCUUGAUGUAAGAAGGACACUCCCAUCUUCCUCUUCGUCUUCGUCUUCAUUCUUGACACGAAUGGCAAUUAGAAUAUCAAGAUCAAGAUGUUUCAGUUUCUUGAGAAGGGUGUUUCAUUAUCAAAAUGGUUCAAGAUCAGAACUCGGCUCGAAUCCUUUCAAUUCUGUCACUUGGAUUAUGAUGGANUUUAAAAAAUUCACUUGAAAUCAAAGCAAUAAAAGGGUCUUUGUUUGAUUAUUGGUCACCAUCUUGAAACCAAUCUUUACCUUAUGUCAUGUUUGGUUCAACUCCAUUAACCUAUUUUUUCUUCUUGUUUUUUUUCCCCUUUUUAUUCCCACUUUCAUUUCUCUUGUUUUGUGUUCUAAGUUCGUUUCUUGUUUACCUUCUUAAAGGUGGGAACUUUUUUGUUUGUCGACUGAAUCAUUCUUUUGGUGUCAAUAGUAGUGAGCUGGUUAGAUACCUGGGGCAAAGGGCUUGUAGUAUCCCUUUGAUUGAUUCACCCUUUUCUUCGCUUCGGUAGUAGUUCUUGUCUCACCUUCUUAAAGGUGGAAACUUUUUUCAUUUCGACUUAGUCACUCUUUUGGUGUCAAUAGUAGUGAACUAUGUGAGCUGGUUAGAUACGUGGGACAGAGGACUCGUAGCACCCUUUGAUUCAUUCACCCUUUUCUUCGCUCCGGUAGUGAAUCAUUCCUCUGUUGUCUCACUUUCUUAAAGGUGGGAACUUUUUUGUUUCGACUGAAUCACUCGUUUGAUGUCAAUAGUAGUGAACCACGUGAGCUGGUUAGAUACGUGGGGCAGAGGGCUCGAAGUAUAAUACCCCUUUGAUUGAUUCACCCUUUUCUUCGCUCCGGCAGUGAAUCAUUCCUCUGUUGUCUCACUUUCUUAAAGGUGGAAUCUUUUUUAUUGAAGUUCUUGAAAUUUUGCAUUAGUUGUUAUGCAAGCAAAGAUUGAAACUUGGGGAAAUUUUGCUUCUCUUUGCAAAAUUCUUCUAUUAUCCCACAUGCUAGUAUUGAGUAUCGACUAGAUCACUCUUUUGGUUCAGUUGGUGAAAUCGAUACAUGGGGCAAAGGGCUCGUAGUACCUAAAGGGGCACGCUUGCACGUCUUACUACAAAGUUGAAAUUUCUCCCUAUUGAAAAACCUUGUAAACACUUAGCUAAAAAAAAGUGUCAUCAUUUCGAAUCAUGAGUAGCCGUUACUUUAUAACAACAGACUCAUUGUGUAAUCCUAGGAUUAUUGUUCCAGAAAGAAUGGAUCUUGAUGUAAGAAGGACACUCCCAUCUUCCUCUUCGUCUUCGUCUUCAUUCUUGACACGAAUGGCAAUUAGAAUAUCAAGAUCAAGAUGUUUCAGUUUCUUGAGAAGGGUGUUUCAUUAUCAAAAUGGUUCAAGAUCAGAACUCGGCUCGAAUCCUUUCAAUUCUGUCACUUGGAUUAUGAUGGAAUGUAUAGCUUUAAGUGUUCAAAUAAUUGUUACAACAUAUACUUUAGCUGUUACAAAAGAGGAAAGGCCUGUUUGGCCAAUGAGAAUUUGGGUAUUUGGAUAUGCUUUUGGUUGUGUCAUUAGUCUGAUCCUGCUUUUUUGGAGAUACUGGACAUUAUAUGUCAUCCAAACAGAUGCAAAUUCUGAUAUUGAGCAACAAAUAAGCCACGACGAAUCAAGGUAACUAACUAACAUGUUAUAACGGUUAAUUAACGUUGUUUUAAGUGAUCUGAUAGUGUAAAAAUUACAUUUUUUCAGGGCGUUGUCGCCUCAGAUGGAGAGAUGUAGGACAUCAAUGGAGCUAUUUUUUGCCAUAUGGUUUGUGAUGGGGAAUGUUUGGAUAUUUGAUUCAAGAUUUGGAUCAUUUCAUAAUGCCCCUAAACUUCAUGUCCUUUGCAUAUCAUUAUUGGCUUGGAAUGCUGUCACAUACUCUUUUCCAUUCAUAUUAUUUGUGUUGUUGUGUUGUUGUGUGCCAAUUUUGAGUAGCUUUCUUGGCUACAAUAUGAACAUGGGAUCAAUGGAUAGAGGUGCAUCUGAUGAACAACUCAACAAUUUGCCUAGGUGGAAGUACAAAGAAAGAGGAAAUAAAGAGGAAACUACAAGUAAUGAUGUAAGUCAUCUAUUGAAUUGCAAAAUACUCCUCCCUUUUGAUUUGAUUGUCUUACUUUUCUUUUUCAUCCGUUCAAAAACAGUAUGUUUCCUUCCUUUUUUCGGUGACUCUUUAAUUUCAACUUUCCACAUGAUAUGUUUAAGACCACAAGAUUAAAGGACAUUUAAAUAACAUUUCACGUAUUUUUAGUUUAAGAUCAUAAGAUUCAAAAAAAUUCUUUAAUUUUCUAAAUUUCGUGUCAAGUCAAAACUAGACAAACAGAUUAAAAUGAAAGUGUAGUUAGGAAAAUCAUAUCGAAUUUCUAGAUUGGAACAUAUAAAUGAUAUAAGCAAAAAAAAAAAUAAUCACUUCUAAAAGGUUAGUUGCUUCUCAUCUUUCAGAGACUUCUUGCUCGCCUAAGAUGAUAACAAGAGCAUAUAUCGACAAAGGAUUAUCCUAUGAUGAUCAUCUAGUGUCUUUUGAGAAUGAAUUUAAUCAUAUGAUUUUACUUUUAAAUUUUUCUUACUCCUACAAAAUCAAAGUCGAAAAGAUGGAAGAUAUCAAUCAUUCAUGAUCAUUGAUGAAAUAUUCCUUGAAGUUUGAGUAUUCAUUUUUAAAUAACGAAAAGGAUAACCUGACACCAAAUAUUUGACCUUCGAGACAUUUGAACUUUUGAGUAAUUUACAUACAACAUACUUUAAUAUAUCACGUUACUGUUAUAGUUGGUGAAAUUCAAGUACCUUCCUAUAAUAAAAUAAUUUUAUAAUUAUACUAAUAUAAUAAAUAAAGUUCAAUGAUCAUACGUGAAAUUUACCCUAAUUUUAUGGCAUGACAGGAAUGUUGUAUUUGUUUGGCCAAAUACAAAGAGAAAGAAGAAAUCAGACAGCUGCCUUGUUCUCAUAUAUUCCAUCUCAAUUGUGUUGAUCAAUGGCUCAAAAUUAUCUCUUGUUGUCCUCUAUGUAAACAAGAAUUAGAGAGAUAAUUCAUCGACAGAGUUAAUUAUCAGAUACCUAUAUUGAUAGAGAUAGCAGAUAUCAUCGUAAAAAUUAAUCCAAAUAUAAUGAUCAUAAAAAAAUUAAGCUCUUGAUAGUACUUAUACUUUUUAUUUAUUUACUCCCACAUCCCAAUUUUCCUUAUUUCUUCUUUCCUUUUAUUUAUUUUUCUUAAAGAAAAAGUCAACAUAAAUUGUAUGUACAUAUAGUUACUAGAGUGAGUAAAAAUAUCUUAAUUAUACUUUAUAGCUAUAUUUUGAAUAAUUCCAUUUUAUAACUAUAGUCAUAACAUUAAUUGUAUAAUUCGUGCAACAUUUGUAUACGUUUAUAUAUUUCGUUAUACAAUUCGUGCACAACGUUUGUAUACUUUGCUAUACAAUUCAUAGUAUUUGUAUAUUUCUCUAUUCAAUUUGAUUCGUGUACAUCGUUUGUAUAAGUCGCAUGAAUUAUAUGAAAUUCAAACUAUAAUUACAACUAAAUGUUUACCACGAGUCGUAAUUAAUUCAAACUAAAGCUAUAUUAGCUAAUUAACUAGUAUAGAUUUGUUUAUCUGGGUAUUUUUUUCUAAAUUAUUUGUAGUUUUAUUCCCAGUAUUUGAACAAUAAUAAGAUUACAAAUCAUGUCACUUAUUGAUGAAAAAUAAAGUUAUGUGACCAUUUUUGCAAAAUAUAAUAAACAAAAUAAUUUUGGAUUAAUACUUUAAUGGUUAUGGGCUUUUUUCCAUUACACUCCCUUGGGCCCAUCUUAAUUUUUGUACUUUUUUCUUUCAACUUUUAUUGUUUUAUUUUCUUUGUCUGUGCUACUGGGUAUCAUUUUGUAUUAUUUCUAACUUCAUGACAAAAUUCGAAUAUUAUAAAUAAACACAAUUUCAUAUCUAAGGAAUAUUACUCGAAUCUGAAUUAAUUGAAUCAAUAAAUUUUUACUAUUAAAUAAUUUAAAAAGGAAAAAACAUUAUACCAAGUCUUAUCACUUUUUCAAUACAAUGGUCAAUGGAACUAGAUAUUUUGUUUUUUGAAGAAAAUGUAAAAUGCACUCAAUAAUAAUAAUAAAAAAUAUUCAUCCAAAUAUUGUAAUUUUCAUUUUACACUCAACAACAUAAUUUUAUCGAUUCAACAAAAGAAUUCCUACUUGCAUUAGAGGCCUUCCAACGUACCUUUGUUGAUGAAUUAUCAUAACAAUAACAUAUUUAAUAUAAUUUCAUUGAAAUUACCUGAGGACUGCCUCUAUUUAUGCUUGACCAAAUGUUUCAUCAUUCUUUAUUUUAGCUCGAUACAGAGGAAAGACGGAACAAUUUAACCGAUCUAUAGGAAGGAAUACAAGAAAAGAAAGCACUUUGGGAGCAAAGACGGACCUACAUAGGUGCUAGGGGGUACACUCGAAUCCUCUUGACAAAAAAUUAUAUUAUAUAUAUAUAUAUAAGAUAAAUUUUAUAUAUUUCCGUACAUAUACUAACUAUGAACCACCUAAAUCAAGGAGGAGAGAUAGCCCAGUGGUACUACACCGCUCAACUUGAGCCACAAAUACUAUCCUCACAGGUUUGAUUUCUACUGAGUGCACAGGUUGUAAACACGCUUGAGAAGUAUCAACAAUAAUCUCUUUUUGGAGUUUGUACUUUGCACUGUACUUCACACAUCCUGAAUUCGCCAUGGGUUGGAAGAGGUUGAACUUUGAAGUGAGAUUUAGAGAGGAUGGUGUGUACGUGAUCUUACCUCUAUAUAUCUUGUGAAGGUAGAAACAUUAUUUUUAAUAGAUUUUCCACUUAAUAAAAUUAUAUCAACAUCAAGUACAGAUACAACAGCAAAAAAACUCACGCUAGAAACAAAACAAAGGAAAUUAACACAAACAAUAAAUAAUCAAAGCAACGUAAACAACAAAUAAUAAUAGAACCAAUUAAUACAAUAGUAAAAGAAUUACUAAGUUGAAUAAUUCGUAGUGUACACGAGAUACUUUCAUCGAUAUCACUAGAUUGUAUAAAUAUACAAUAUUUAGCAUUAACAUGUAUUUGACAGCUGGCAAACAUGGCUAGGCCUAAUAUCAGACGUUUGGGGCACCAUAAAUAUAAUUUAGUUUCCGACAAGGACACAACUUAUUGCAAAUUACAAAACACCUUAAAAAUAAAAAGGUUAAGGAACUUCUUCAUCCCCUACCUUUUUUUCUUCAAAAAUUUCUUUGUGAUUCUGCAAUCAUCUGAAAUCAAAUCUCCAUUUAUUCAUAACCGUAAGUAUUGUUUCGUUUCCAUUUUUCGAUUUUGAUUCUCAUGUUGUGAUUUUUCUGUAAUUAUUAGAUCUGUUUGUUAACCAAAUCUAACUGUUUGUUUGAUGAGUUGAAAUUCUUGAUCCAAUUGAAUUUUCCUAUGAUAUACAGGUGUUUUUUUUGUGUUAUUUGAUGUGGGGUUUCUUUAAUUUUGUUGUUUGUUUAAGUAAAGUUUCGAAAUUUAAGCUAAAUUUGACUUUAGAUCCAAAGUUUCAAUUUUUAUCGAAAUUCAAUUCCCAUUUAUUCAAUGAGCUAUGGAGAAGGGAAUGUUAUUUUGGUGGAAAGUUUGAUGAUUAAACUAUAUGUCAAGAAAUUUUGUGUUGGAUUUUCCUUGAGGUUGGUAUGAAGUGCAGCUUGUGUUGAAUGAGUCUAUGAACUAAUGGUGAAGCCACGAUUUUCAUUGGGGGAUUCAAAAUGUAAAAAAUUAAAAAAAUUGGAGAAACUAAGGAGAUUCGACAUGUUAUGAUUUUGUAUGUUUAGUGUAGUUUUCCGGCGAAGGGGAUUAACCAGAACCCCAACGCUGUGCUAUGAACUAUACAAAUGGGGGACUGGAGAAGAGUAAUAAUUACAAAAGAAGAAUAUGGUGUGACUCGUUAAUAAUUUCUUCGGGAUGAUGCAACUAGAGCAAAGUGGUUUUUAUCAAAGUUGAAGUUGAAGAUGCACGUUAAGUUAUGAUGAUAAAUUGGCGGAAUUUAAAUUGCAUGAGGAGCAUAAUCAAUAAUGAUAAUUAAGUUGAAAGAUUUUACCUUGCUGACGGAAUUGAAGGGUGUCUCUUAGUGCUUCGUUUAUCAGUUUUAAUAGAUAUUUAUGUAACUUAAUUGUGUAUUCACGUGUUUGCCCUGACAGGUAUAUAGCUGCACAUAGAUAGGUUUCAGAAACUUUUGGUAUUUUGGGUUCAUACACAGACAUAACAGAGAAUGGUCAAAAGGUUAGUUUUGUUGUUCAUGUCCAACAAAUGGUUAUCUGGUUCAAAUGACCUGAUUAUAGUGGAUUUUUGACACCGUCCUCUGCCAUUCUUGUCGAACAGAUAUGGAGUGUUUUGAAGCAGAGACUCUACCAUGUUGCAGUGCUUAGGUUCUUACCUUUCGAGGUGCUGUGAUCUUGAUUUUAAGCAAACAGGGGGCCUCGACGAUCCUGAGGUCCUUGCACGAGAGACAGUUUGUAUGUAAUUGGACAUUUUGUAAUUUUUUUCUAGAAACAUAGAAUGAUUAUGGAAAAUAACAAAAGCUAAGUCUAACUGGUUCUGAGCUUUUUGCUUUUCUUAAUAGCUCGAAUUUGAUGAUUUGUACCUGCAUUUAAAGCUUAUUAUGGCUCUUUGGAAAAGGAUAACAUAUUCUCCUUUUGACCCAAAUUUUAAACAUUCUUUCCAUGUUGGGAUGUUCCAAAAUGUUUAAUCAAAUUUUGUUCAAAUGGUAAUACAUUGAUAUUCUAUCAUCCGAAACUAUGUAUCCAUUCAAAAAACCAUCUGAAGUAAUAAUUUGAUCUAUAAUCAGAAUUCACCGUGUUGUUCUUGUUGAAAAGAAUCUAAAGCUCAUUUUGUUAUCACAUUUUUCAAUCCAUAGAUUGUUAGUGUCUCAUGGUGUAACAACCCUUCCUAUUAUUAUAUUUAUUAUUAUUAUCAUUAUUAUCUUAAUAUAAAUAUUUAUAUUAAGAUAAAAAUGAUAAUAAUAAUAAAUAUAAUAAUAGGAAGGGUUGUUACAUUAAAUUAAAUAGGAAGGGUUGUUACACAUGGCUUGUGCAUUACUAGAAGUACCAUAACUGAGCCUACAUUAAUCUUAUUUCUUGUUGCAGUUAGUGUCAGUGAGAUCGAAGCUCUUUAUGAGCUCUUUAAAAAGAUCAGCAGUGCGGUGAUUGAUGAUGGUUUAAUCAACAAGGUUGGUGUCACCUGUUCUCCUAACAACAACUUAGGAAACUAGCAUGAAUGUUUUAACAAUCCUUUGUUUUUGAAAAAGAAGUAUUUACAUGGUCUAUUCUUGGCAUGGAUGCUUAAUAUAUAUUAAUCUUCAGCUGUACUUUUGGAUUAUGAGUUUGUAUCUUAUCUUACAGGAAGAGUUUCAAUUGGCACUAUUCAAGACAAAUAAAAAAGAAAGUUUGUUUGCUGACAGGGUACGUUCUCCUUAGCUGCCAUUAGCUCAAAUGUGAUCCCAAUGUAAUCGAUUUAAUUUUGAUAAAUUGGUUGAUGUUUUUCUUUUUUGGAUUAUUGAUAAAUUGGUCGCUGUUGAUCACCAAUAAUUAAAUCUAUUUGCAAGUAUUUUAUUUAGUGAAUUGAUUAUCAAUUUCCACGGCUUUCAUUGUACACUUUAUGAUCCAGAAUCUUGCAAAGCACUAGUUCUGUAGUACUAAUACCCUACGAGGGUGCCUCAGUCUGAAUGUCAAAGUGAGGUGAGCUCAGUAAGGCGGAGAGCACACUUCCUAUUGUUCAGCUUUUUGGGGUUUAAUGGUUUAGAAAAAGGCGACAAAAAUCCUAUCCAUUACCAAAAAACAUGGCUUAUAAGUUAUAAGUCGAUGAUCUCUGCAGCAAUAACAAAACCAGCCAACUUCUUAUUCAAUUGUUUACUAUAGUCUUUGUUCUUCUUUUUCCUUUGCUGGCUGUAUUUCUUCUGCUUUUAAGUGGGAACACUAUCUUGUAAUAAUUAACCCUGUCUAGUGCAAGAACAAGGAAUAUAGUCACAUGGAGUUGUACUUCACGAUGAAUCUUGAUGAUGUAGCAAAAAAAGGAAAUGAGUCGAACUUUCCGCAGAAGCUAUCUGGCUGUGGCCCGCUCUUUGGACCAACUACAACCUUCUAACCUCGAGGAUAAUGGGCCCGGUCCUCUACCCUUCUCCAUUUAAAUACUAGGCUUCGCUUUGCAUGGUCUGGGGCUUGAGCCUGUGACCUCAGCCACAAAUCCUCCAUCCUUUGCCACUCGAGCUAGGCCCUAGGGGCUACUUUGAAGGAUUAUGUUGAUAACAUUAGUCAAUGGAUAUGUGAUGUAGGACUCCUUUUUAAAUGAAUGAAGUAUGCUUUGCAAAUUUUGUUGAGGUUAUAGGGUUAUUUGGUCCAGCACCAAUUUUCAUGAAUAAGUUCCUUCUCUAAAACAAGAGGUAGAUCCAACAAGCAAUAAUUUUCUAAUAUAAAUGGAACAUAUAUGCAUGCUUCUGAAAAAGUAAAAUGACCAGCGAUGUUUGGAUAAAAUUCAAGUACUGAUGACAAUAUUGAAGUAAGGAAACAUGAUGGAGGAAGUACACCCAUGCUUCUUGUACUCUCUCCUUGUGCAGCGCGUAUAAUAAAUUCGAUCUUAAUGACAUUGUUAGAGUGCUCCUUUAAUGAAGUGUUUGUUCUGGCUGUCAAAUUGCAUGAAUCAAUUACAGUUAUUGUUGAAUAUGAUGAGGUAUACAAAUGUGAUCUGCGUAAGGCCCAUUAAGAUUAAUUAACUUUAGAUAUGACUUAAUGGAAAGUGAUAUUGAAACUUUGGAUAUGACUUGAAAGGACAAUGACUUUUUCUAACAAAGAUAUUCACUUUCAAAAAAUAUGACGAUGGAUGGUCAGUUAUAGUUUUGUUUGGAUGGUUGUUAUGUAUUGUUUUAUAAUGUAUCAUAUUGUAUUGUAUUGUAUUGUAUCGUACUGUAUUGUUUUAAUGAAUACAAUGUUCGGUAGAUUGUUAGCAUUCUAUGUCGUUACAUAAUAUCGUACAUCCCCAAUUUGAAUGAUAAACAUAAAAGAAAUUGUAGUGUAUGUGGUAGAGCUACUAUGAAAAAGUAGGGUAAAUGACAAUAGAAUUAUUAAAUAAUAAGUAAAGUAAAAAUGAAAAGAAAUAGUAAGGUAACGACGCUAUCACAUCAAAUUAGUCGUUACACAAAAUUGGUCUUUUCAUCGUUCUCUAACGAUACGAUAUAAUGGAAUUUAAGUAACAAUCAAAACGAACAUUUUAUUUAAACUAACAAUACAAUACAGUGGAUAACAAUUAUCCAAAUAAGGUGUUAAGGAAGUCAUAAGGAAAGUUUAAGAUUCUUACAUGUCUUGUGUGAGUGAGGAUAUCUUUGUUACCAAUUUCAGUUUUAUCCUUUUUUUUUAAUUCUGUUUCUAUGUUAUUUCCUUUAAUAUUGAAUCUCCACUUAAAUGAUAGAAUUACCCGGUAGCUUUGAUGAUUGUGGUGGACGCUAACAUCUUUAUUUCUCCUUACUCACCUAUCUAAUUGCAGGUGUUUGACUUGUUUGACACAAAGCACAACGGAAUCUUAGGUUUUGAGGAAUUUGCUCGUGCACUCUCUGUUUUCCAUCCAAAUGCACCUAUCGAUGACAAGAUUGAGUGUACGUUUUAUAUUUGCCUUACUCAUGGCUUUUAAUUUCUGUUGGUCGUGACUGCUUCUAAUGAUAUACUACUAUUGCAGUUUCUUUUCAGCUAUAUGAUCUCAAACAACAAGGAUUCAUCGAGAGACAAGAGGUAUUUAUAAACCUCACUAAGUGAAGUGAUUAACUCUCCUUGAUCUUGGAAGGCAUAGUUGAAGUAGUUGAAUGGCCUCUUAAGGUGAUACAUCAAACGCCCAGUGGACAGGUGGUCAAAGAUCCACCAAGGGGUUUUUGCCUUUAGGGCUUUUAGGCUAAGGAAUCAGGAAUGUACUCCCGCCGUCUCAUAUUGUUGGUCUUACUUCCUUUCUAUUUAGAAAAGAAUAUCUUUUUCCUUUCUUGGAAAUUUUUUAAUCUCAACUUUCCAAGUGGCAUAUUUAAGACUAUAAGAUUAAAGGAUAUUUUGGUACAAUCAACAUAUGUUUAAUUUAACAUCACAAGAUUCAAAAGUCUUUCUUGUUUCUUUUAAACUUCGUGCCAAGCAAAAAUUAGACAAAUAAAUUAAAACGGUAGGAGUACCUUUUGUACGAGCAUCUUCUGGCAUGUUCACAUUGGGGGACUCAAUUUUCUAGUCCUUUUUGCACUAUAUUUCUGAUUAAUGUGGGGGAUAAGUUGGUUAGCUUAUGCCCAUUUAAUGUAUCUCUUUUAAUUUUAUGAUAAGAAAAGAGUGUGUUGUGGUCGACCAAAGCCCAAUUUUGAGGAGGUCAGCAGUUUUUACUACCUUUCUGCUUCUGUUCCCUUUUUUUCCCCCUUAACACAACUUCACUUCCAUCUGGUUUACUUUUCUAUUUAGCAUUUUUCUUGUUUUUCUCUAUAUUUUACUUUCUCUAUAUAUAUUAACAAAAACUUCCGGAAAUAGCCUAUCUCUCUCUAUGAGGUAGUGGUAAGGCCUGCGUACAUUUUACCCUCCCUAGACCCCACUUGUGGGAUUCCAUUGGGUAUGUUGUUGUUGUGUUAACAAAAACUUCCGACAACCGUUCCUUUUACUCAUUUAGGCGUAACCUUUACCCUAUAUGUUAGCACAAAUUAAUUAUGUGCCAGGAACCAGAUUUGAACUUGUAUCACAAGGAUUUUCAGUCCUCUGCUCUGCCAACUGAGCUAUCCCGGCUAUUUCCAAUUCAGAUUGGGACAGGUGGUACGAGGAUUGACAGUCCUCUACUCUACCAAUCUCAAUUGGAACCGCUAACAUGAGGAUUUACUGUCCUUUGCUCUACAGUACUGGUUGCCGUCAUAUGUCGAUGUUCCAGUUUUUGUUGCUCUACUUAUGUUUCUUUGCGAGCUUUAUUAAUCAACAUUGUUUGUUUGUGUGUUGAUAAAAAUAAAAGACAUGACUUCUAAGUGCAGGUAAAACAAAUGGUGGUUGCUACUCUUGCUGAGUCUGGUAUGAACCUUUCAGACGAUGUAAUCGAGAGCAUAAUUGAUAAGGUACUUCGUCAACCUAGAAAGUACUUGUUUUGCAUGUUGUAUAAGUCCGGCAUAACGAUAAUGUUUCACCUCUUGGUCUUCUGCCUGUCUAGCUAUCUUUCUAUGUUGCUAUGGUUUAUGUUCGUUUGGGGUUCAUUUCCUUCUAGGAUAAUGACCAGGUGACUUAGACCUACAGGGAAAACAACCAUCACAUAUCCUCUGGAUUUCUGUUCAAGGAUGAAGUUAACGGAAAAGACCAGAUACGUUUAAUUAUUGUUUAGGCCCAAUGCUUACAGUGAUUCAAGUCUCAGUGUGGCUGAAAUUAGUUUAGGAUCUGUUGGUAGAUAUUACAAGAUUGCUCAUUUAUUUGGCUUCUGUUUUCUACAUCUAAUUAAUUGCGUGUUUGCAAAUGCACCGGGAAAAUCUCGUGCGCGCCAUGAUUAAAGAUUGCCAUUCUAAAAAAAGGGUUUUUUUAUGAUCAACUAAUGUCUCCUUGUUUUGACCCUUCGGGGUGGCUCAGUGGGUUUGGGCUUGAGACUUCCAUGUAGGUCGAAACCCCUUGCCAGUAAGUCGAGUUUGUCGCACCAGACUUGCCUAGUGUGAGUUACCUCUUCUAUGUGGUUUGCAAGAUAUUACAUAGAAGUGGGGGUUUACCUUGUGUGCACCCAAAGGAUAGUAGCUGCGGGUUCCCUUGUUAUAAAAAAAACUAAUGUCUCCUUGUUUUGCCAGACUUUUGAAGAAGCUGAUACCAAGCACGAUGGAAAGAUUGACAAAGAGGAAUGGAGAAAUUUAGUGUUGCGACAUCCUUCACUUUUGAAGAACAUGACUCUCCAAUAUCUCAAGUAAGUGUCACAUGGAAUAUUAACGUAUAUUGAUGUAGUUUUUUUUUUCCCAUUUUGCUCAAAUAUCUUCCUCCUUUAAUCAGGGACAUUACUACGACAUUUCCGAGCUUUGUCUUUCAUUCAAGGGUUGAGGACACUUGAUUUGGGAUUUGAGAAGACGAGUUGCUUACAAGGGUAAUAUAUUACUUGUCUUUUGCUUUCUGGGAAUCGCAGUUGGUGGAUUCCAUGAAAUAUAUAACAUUAUGUUUGGUCUUUCCAUUUUGUCCAUGUUAAAUUCGACAUCUUCUGGAUUUAUUAUUCUUUUUUGAAUAGUUGUUUUGCAAUUUGUUGCUAUGAAUUGAUGUCGAGUUUUGAAUGAUAGUGUAUUGUGCUUCUUGGUACACACCAUAAUUUUGCAUUUAAAAGUAAACAAAUCCCUCAGUUCAUCUCUCGUUAAUGGCUGUUGACUUCUUCUUCUUCUUCCAUUCUGUAUACUCGAAAGCGUUUCAACGUCUGCUCAAUUGGAAUGACAGCAAUGUUGAGAACUGAAAUAGGAUAAGUUCUACGAUAACAUACCUAGUGGAAUCCCAUGAGUGGAGUCUGUAAGGGUAAAAUGUCACAAAUUUUACUAUUAUUUCAUAGAGAUAAGAGGAGGUUAUUUCUCAAAAAAAAUAGGAUGAGUCUUGUGUAGAGAAAAUAAAAUAGAACAUGAACCAACCCAGGUUUUUUCAUCAGUUCAGAAACCAGCUUGAAGGCAACAGCUGCAUCAAUUAAGGGUGGACAUAUUUUGAGUAAUACUGACAACCAGAACCGAAAAGUUAUUGGUUAUUGUUUAAAAGUUAACGUAUGCGAUGUCCUCGUGUGAAUUAUAAUCACACAAAUAUUUAUAAUUUAUUUUGUACAUCUUUUCCUUAAUUUUCAAAUCAAGUCAAAUUAAAUAAAACUUCAGAAGUGCAACUUCUGAUAAAAGAUGGACUAUUUUGUUUCAAAAAUUUGUAUAUGCCAUCUUAUACAAAUUGCGCACUGGAGAUGUAUUAUACUACAUAAAUUGAUUGGAAUGAUUGUCUGCAUUUCCCCGACAAUUUUUCAUAACAAAAGUUCAAAACUGAACCUACUACUAAACAUCACCCUUAACUUCGAAUUUUAGAAUCCACCGUGCAUCACACAACUUACAAAGCACGGAGCAACCAAUUACAGUUCACCCCCCUUCUAAUGAUGCAAGAUAUUUCACAGAAAACAAAAGCUGGGCAAGAAAAGAACUAUUAUAAAGCCGAAAGUCGAAAUAAAAGGAGAAUUAUAACCUAAAAUCGAAAAGAACGACAUUAAUACGACCCUAUCAAAUAUUGUUCUCAUGGGGUAAAACAUAACUAAGAAAAAGUAGAGAAAAUUAGUAAGGGAACACCAUAAAAUAUCAACCAUUAGCAAUUAACUUAGUCAACCUCCUCCAUCUUGCUGCCCUCAGCAUCAGCUUCAGGAUCCUCCAAUGCUGGCAUGUCAACAUCCGCUUCUCCACUUUCCUCAUCAAUGCUCAAACCAAGUUUCAGCAUCCGGUGAAUUCUGUUGCCAAAGGUGUUUGGCUCCUCAAGGCUGAAACCUGAGGUGAGAAGGGCAGUCUCAAAAAGCAAGAGAACCAAGUCUUUCACAGACUUGUCAUUCUUGUCUGCAUCAGCCCUCUUCCUCAGCUCAUCCAUGAUGGAGUUCUCGGGGUUGAUCUCCAUGGUCUUCUUGCUAGACAUGUAUCCAGCCAUGCUAGAGUCCCUAAGUGCCUGUGCCUUCAUGAUUCGCUCCAUGUUGGCAGUCCAGCCAUACUCUCCGGUGACCAAGCAGCAGGGAGAGUCCACAACACGGUCAGAAACAACAACCUUCUCAACUUUGUCUCCCAACACAUCUUUAAUGACCUUGCAAAGUCCCUCAAACUUUGCCUUCAAUUCUUCAUGCUUUUUCUUCUCAUCUUCACUCUCAUCAAUCUUGAGGCCUUCCUUGGUAGCAGAAACAAGCUUUUUGCCCUCAAAUUCCUUCAACUGACCAAUUGCAUACUCAUCAAUGGCGUCAACCAUGUAAAGUACCUCAUAACCCUUCUUCUUCAGUUUCUCUAAGAAGGGAGAGUUCUCAACAGCCUUCUUGCUCUCACCAGUGAUGUAGUAAAUAUCAUUUUGGCCCUCCUUCAUUCUGGUUACGUAGUCCUUCAAGCUGGUCAUCUCAUCACCGCUCUUGGUGGAGUGGUAUCUCAGCAAUUCAGCAAACUUUGACCUGUACUGAGAAUCCUCAUGGAUGCCGAGCUUGAGGUUCUUAGAGAAGGCUUCAUAGAACUUGUUAUAGUCCUCCUUGUUCUCAGCGAUUUCAAAGAAAAGCUCAAUACACUUCUUUACCAAAUUCUUGCGUAUAACCUUUAGGAUCUUGUUCUGCUGCAACAUCUCUCUGGAGAUGUUGAGAGGAAGGUCCUCAGAAUCCACAAUACCCUUCACAAAGCUCAAAUAUUCAGGAAUCAACUCUUCACAGUUAUCCAUGAUAAACACACGACGAACAUACAGCUUGAUGUUGUUGGGCUUCUUCUUUGUGUCAAAAAGGUCAAAAGGAGCCCUUUUUGGAAUAAAGAGAACGGCCUUGAACUCCAACUGGCCCUCAACAGAGAAGUGCUUCACAGCCAGAUGCUCCUCCCAAUCAUUUGUCAAGCUCUUGUAGAAAGCAGCAUACUCUUCCUUUGUGAUCUCUUCGGGCUUUCUCAUCCAAAUGGGCUUCUGCUUGUUCACUAGUGACCACUCAUUAGAAACUUCCUUAACCUUCUUCUUUUUCUUCUCUUCCUUCUCCUUUUCCUCAUCAACCUCUUCUACCUUCCCCUCCUCAUCUUUCUUCUCUUCUUCCUCCUCAUCAUCAGAAAUUUCCUUCUCUAUGGUCUUCUCGACCCACAGAGAGAUAGGGUAGCUAAUGAACUCAGAGUGCUUUUUAAUCAGGUCCUUGAGCCUGCGUUCUUCAAGGUAUUCAAGCUGAUCCUCCUUGAGAUAAAGGACCAUUUUUGUGCCCCUACCAAGGCUCUCACCAGAUGUAUCCCUG
Molecule: long non-coding RNA, 25763 nt
Filed under: Solanum pimpinellifolium
Lineage: Eukaryota; Viridiplantae; Streptophyta; Magnoliopsida; Solanales; Solanaceae
Description: long non-coding RNA (SPIM_LNC000189)
Source: RNAcentral